GAAAUGGCUUUGGCAUAUAUGGUUUCGUAUGACAACAUAUUUGUUUCACUGGUUUAUCGUAUUUUGAAAAAAUAAUUUUGAGGGCCAAAUAUAAUACUCCAGUAAAAUAGCCAUGCAUCUUAGCAGGGCUAAAUCUUUUCUUAUAGUUACGAGAAUUGUAUAAAGUAUAUUAAUUAAACUUGUAAAAAUAGACGGCACAUUCAAAAUUUAAAAUCAAAAUACUAUUGACCGACUCAAAUCAAUUAAAUUGAAAACUUGGAUAGUAAAAUUAAAAUUUUAAAAAAUUUAGAUAAAUUGAUUCAAAAUAGUCUAUAGUUCAGACAAGUUGUAAAUAUUUGUCACCUUUGAAAUGGGCUUUUGAAGGGUUGAGGUUUCAUGAUUAAGUUCGCAGGUCAAGCUCCAAUUAGGGUUUUCAGAACAUCACAUGUGCACGCAGCAGGGUGGUGUAUAGCUAACUGCAGUGACGAGGUAGAAUUAGCCAAUCAGGAGGUGUCAGAGUUACUACUUUAUUUUAAGUUAGGCAUCAUUUGGAAUUGCGGAGAGAUUGCGUUACGUGCGGUGAGAAAGUACGUUGAAAAAAUACUAUAUUUGUUUCUGUACAUAAUAUUGUAUUCCGCAUAUCGCGAUACGGUCCCACCGGAGAACGCAGAAAUAUAUUCCUAUAUGUUUUUACAUUAACUCUAUUUUAUCUAAUAGUGUCAGAUUUGCUUCAAUAUCAAACUAAGUGUUACUCAGAAGGCUAAGCAUAGAAUAAUUAAAAAAUAUAUAUUA
This 771-nucleotide long non-coding RNA is filed under the name Ananas comosus (pineapple). RNAcentral's name for it is "long non-coding RNA (ACOM_LNC001588)". The record is from RNAcentral. Lineage: Eukaryota; Viridiplantae; Streptophyta; Magnoliopsida; Poales; Bromeliaceae.